This 253-nucleotide ribosomal RNA is filed under the name uncultured bacterium. RNAcentral's name for it is "partial 16S ribosomal RNA". It matches the Rfam family "Bacterial small subunit ribosomal RNA", at positions 524 to 776 of the family's 1533-position model. The record is from RNAcentral.
UACGGAGGGUGCAAGCGUUGUCCGGAUUCACUGGGUGUAAAGGGUGUGUAGGCUGGACGGUAUGUCAGAGGUGAAAGCCCACGGCUUAACCGUGGAACUGCCUUUGAAACUGCCGUUCUUGAGUCUCGGAGAGGUCGCUGGAAUUCGUGGUGUAGCGGUGAAAUGCGUAGAUAUCACGAGGAACACCGGAGGCGUAGGCGGGUGACUGGACGAGAACUGACGCUGAGGCACGAAAGCGUGGGGAGCAAACAGG